GUGUCAGCCGCCGCGGUAAGACGGGGGGUCCUAGCGUUGUUCGGAAUCAUUGGGCGUAAAGCGGGCGUAGGUGGCUAUGUAAGUCAGGAGUGAAAGCCCUGGGCUCAACCCAGGAAGUGCUUUUGAAACUGCGUAGCUUGAGUGUGGAAGAGGAUAGUGGAAUUCCUGGUGUAGUGGUGAAAUACGUAGAUAUCAGGAGGAACACCGGUGGCGAAGGCGGCUAUCUGGUCCAACACUGACACUGAGGCCCGAAAGCGUGGGGAUCAAACAGGAUUAGAAACCCCGGUAGUCC
This 292-nucleotide ribosomal RNA is filed under the name uncultured bacterium. RNAcentral describes it as "partial 16S ribosomal RNA". It matches the Rfam family "Bacterial small subunit ribosomal RNA", at positions 505 to 796 of the family's 1533-position model. The record is from RNAcentral.